RNAcentral lists this ribosomal RNA (441 nucleotides) under uncultured bacterium. RNAcentral's name for it is "partial 16S ribosomal RNA". It matches the Rfam family "Bacterial small subunit ribosomal RNA", at positions 338 to 795 of the family's 1533-position model. The record is from RNAcentral.
CCUACGGGAGGCAGCAGUGGGGGAUAUUGCACAAUGGGGGGAACCCUGAUGCAGCGACGCCGCGUGGGUGAAGGAGCGUUUCGGCGCGUAAAGCCCUAUCGGCAGGGAAGAAGGAGGACGGUACCUGACUAAUAAGCCCCGGCUAACUACGUGCCAGCAGCCGCGGUAAUACGUAGGGGGCAAGGGUUAUCCGGAUUUACUGGGGGUAAAGGGGGCGCAGACGGCAGCGCAAGCCAGGAGUGAAAGCUCGGGGCCCAACCCCGAGACUGCUAUUGAGACUGGGCGGCUGGAGUGCAGGUGGGGCAGGCGGAAUUCGUGGUGUAGCGGUGAAAUGCGUAGAUAUCAGGAGGAACACCGAUGGCGAAGGCGGCCUGCUGGACUGCGACUGACGUUGAGGCCCGAAAGUGUGGGGAGCAAACAGGAUUAGAUACCCCUGUAGUC